This 387-nucleotide ribosomal RNA is filed under the name Gephyrocapsa cf. oceanica. RNAcentral describes it as "partial small subunit ribosomal RNA". It matches the Rfam family "Eukaryotic small subunit ribosomal RNA", at positions 582 to 975 of the family's 1831-position model. The record is from RNAcentral. Lineage: Eukaryota; Haptophyta; Isochrysidales; Noelaerhabdaceae.
AUUCCAGCUCCAAUAGCGUAUAUUAAAGUUGUUGCAGUUAAAACGCUCGUAGUCGGAUUUCGGGGCGGGCCGACCGGUCUGCCGAUGGGUAUGCACUGGCCGGCGCGUCCUUCCACCCGGAGACCGCGCCUACUCUUAACUGAGCGGGCGCGGGAGACGGGUCUUUUACUUUGAAAAAAUCAGAGUGUUUCAAGCAGGCAGUCGCUCUUGCAUGGAUUAGCAUGGGAUAAUGAAAUAGGACUCUGGUGCUAUUUUGUUGGUUUGCAUACCAAAGUAAUGAUUAAGAGGGACAGUUGGGGGUAUUCGUAUUUAAUUGUCAGAGGUGAAAUUCUUGGAUUUAUGAAAGACGGACUACUGCGAAAGCAUUUACCAAGGAUGGUUUCAUCG